AAUGGGCGAAAGCCUGAACCAGCAACGCCACGUGUGUGAUGAAGGCCUUCGGGUCGUAAAGCACUUUUCUGGGAGAUGAGAAAGGACAGUAUCCCAGGAAUAAGUCUCGGCUAACUACGUGCCAGCAGCCGCGGUAAAACGUAGGAGGCGAGCGUUAUCCGGAUUCACUGGGCGUAAAGCGCGUGCAGGUGGCGCGGUAAGUUAGGCGUGAAAUCUCCCGGCUCAACUGGGAGAGGUCGUCUAAUACUACCGUGCUUGAGAGCAGAAGAGGAAGAUGGAAUUCCCGGUGUAGUGGUGAAAUGCGUAGAUAUCGGGAGGAACACCAGUGGCGAAGGCGAUCUUCUGGUCUGUUUCUGACACUCAGACGCGACAGCUAGGGUAGUAAACGGGAUUAGAGACCCCGGUAAUCCUAGCCGUAAACGAUGUGAACUUGGCGUUGGUGGGUUAAACUCCAUCAGUGCCGUAGCAAACGCGAUAAGUUCACCGCCUGGGACUACGGCCGCAAAGGUUA
This 511-nucleotide ribosomal RNA is filed under the name uncultured Chloroflexota bacterium. RNAcentral's name for it is "bacterial SSU rRNA". It matches the Rfam family "Bacterial small subunit ribosomal RNA", at positions 370 to 896 of the family's 1533-position model. Lineage: Bacteria; Bacillati; Chloroflexota. The record is from RNAcentral.